GGCAGUGGUGUGGUCCCCGCCCUCUUCUCCCCUUCCAGCCCUCUCUUCCCUGAGUUUUGAUUGUCUCUGUCCCUUGCCCUGCACCUGACCCGGGUCCACCUAGCAUUCUCCCCACCUGUCCACACCCAGUCCACCCAGCAGGUCUCCUGGGCAACCCACCCUGACGUCACUGGCAGCUCUGGCGGCUGGCCCAGGAGCUGAAGCAGCUGGUGGCCAGAUCAUGUUUCCAGGGAUCCUGAGAAGUUUCCUGGAAAGCAGGCUCCUCAACUUUCUGUGUGAUGGACAUAUGACAACUGAGGGGAAAUGUCCCUCCCAGGGCUCAAUUUCUCCAGCUGUAAAAUGGGACUGCGAAAUGGGCCAACCUGCAGGCAGGCUAUCAGGCAGAAGCAACGAGAGCUUAUUAAAC
Molecule: long non-coding RNA, 406 nt
Organism: Bos taurus (domestic cattle)
Lineage: Eukaryota; Metazoa; Chordata; Mammalia; Artiodactyla; Bovidae
Source: Ensembl